GGGUUGUGAGGUUAAGCGACUAAGCGUACACGGUGGAUGCCCUGGCAGUCAGAGGCGAUGAAGGACGUGCUAAUCUGCGAUAAGCGUCGGUGAGGUGAUAUGAACCGUUAUAACCGGCGAUUUCCGAAUGGGGAAACCCAGUGUGUUUCGACACACUAUCAUUAACUGAAUCCAUAGGUUAAUGAGGCGAACCGGGGGAACUGAAACAUCUAAGUACCCCGAGGAAAAGAAAUCAACCGAGAUUCCCCCAGUAGCGGCGAGCGAACGGGGAGGAGCCCAGAGCCUGAAUCAGUGUGUGUGUUAGUGGAAGCGUCUGGAAAGGCGCGCGAUACAGGGUGACAGCCCCGUACACAAAAAUGCACAUAUUGUGAGCUCGAUGAGUAGGGCGGGACACGUGGUAUCCUGUCUGAAUAUGGGGGGACCAUCCUCCAAGGCUAAAUACUCCUGACUGACCGAUAGUGAACCAGUACCGUGAGGGAAAGGCGAAAAGAACCCCGGCGAGGGGAGUGAAAAAGAACCUGAAACCGUGUACGUACAAGCAGUGGGAGCCUCUUUAUGGGGUGACUGCGUACCUUUUGUAUAAUGGGUCAGCGACUUAUAUUCUGUAGCAAGGUUAACCGAAUAGGGGAGCCGAAGGGAAACCGAGUCUUAACUGGGCGUUAAGUUGCAGGGUAUAGACCCGAAACCCGGUGAUCUAGCCAUGGGCAGGUUGAAGGUUGGGUAACACUAACUGGAGGACCGAACCGACUAAUGUUGAAAAAUUAGCGGAUGACUUGUGGCUGGGGGUGAAAGGCCAAUCAAACCGGGAGAUAGCUGGUUCUCCCCGAAAGCUAUUUAGGUAGCGCCUCGUGAAUUCAUCUCCGGGGGUAGAGCACUGUUUCGGCAAGGGGGUCAUCCCGACUUACCAACCCGAUGCAAACUGCGAAUACCGGAGAAUGUUAUCACGGGAGACACACGGCGGGUGCUAACGUCCGUCGUGAAGAGGGAAACAACCCAGACCGCCAGCUAAGGUCCCAAAGUCAUGGUUAAGUGGGAAACGAUGUGGGAAGGCCCAGACAGCCAGGAUGUUGGCUUAGAAGCAGCCAUCAUUUAAAGAAAGCGUAAUAGCUCACUGGUCGAGUCGGCCUGCGCGGAAGAUGUAACGGGGCUAAACCAUGCACCGAAGCUGCGGCAGCGACACUAUGUGUUGUUGGGUAGGGGAGCGUUCUGUAAGCCUGUGAAGGUGGCCUGUGAGGGUUGCUGGAGGUAUCAGAAGUGCGAAU
RNAcentral lists this ribosomal RNA (1262 nucleotides) under Escherichia coli. RNAcentral's name for it is "partial 23S ribosomal RNA". It matches the Rfam family "Bacterial large subunit ribosomal RNA", at positions 1 to 1295 of the family's 2925-position model. Lineage: Bacteria; Pseudomonadati; Pseudomonadota; Gammaproteobacteria; Enterobacterales; Enterobacteriaceae. The record is from RNAcentral.